This 429-nucleotide ribosomal RNA is filed under the name Actinomycetes bacterium. RNAcentral's name for it is "Actinobacteria bacterium partial 16S ribosomal RNA". It matches the Rfam family "Bacterial small subunit ribosomal RNA", at positions 355 to 776 of the family's 1533-position model. The record is from RNAcentral. Lineage: Bacteria; Bacillati; Actinomycetota; Actinomycetes.
UAGGGAAUCUUCCGCAAUGGGCGAAAGCCUGACGGAGCAACGCCGCGUGAGUGAUGAAGGUCUUCGGAUCGUAAAACUCUGUUAUUAGGGAAGAACAAAUGUGUAAGUAACUAUGCACGUCUUGACGGUACCUAAUCAGAAAGCCACGGCUAACUACGUGCCAGCAGCCGCGGUAAUACGUAGGUGGCAAGCGUUAUCGGGAAUUAUUGGGCGUAAAGCGCGCGUAGGCGGUUUUUUAAGUCUGAUGUGAAAGCCCACGGCUCAACCGUGGAGGGUCAUUGGAAACUGGAAAACUUGAGUGCAGAAGAGGAAAGUGGAAUUCCAUGUGUAGCGGUGAAAUGCGCAGAGAUAUGGAGGAACACCAGUGGCGAAGGCGACUUUCUGGUCUGUAACUGACGCUGAUGUGCGAAAGCGUGGGGAUCAAACAGG